This 219-nucleotide unclassified non-coding RNA is filed under the name soil metagenome. RNAcentral describes it as "partial contains 5.8S ribosomal RNA, internal transcribed spacer 2, and large subunit ribosomal RNA". The record is from RNAcentral.
AACUGAUACUACCUGCGGGAACCUGCGGAGGGAUCAUUACCAGAGUUGAAAAACUCCCUAAACACUUGUGAACUUACCUGUAUUGUUGCUUCGGCGGGCGGCCCCAGGGGGGGCCUCUGCCCCUCGCGGGGCGCUCGCCGGAGGUAUCAAACUCUAUGUUUAUUAUCUGCUUCUCUGAGAAACAUAUAAACAAGUCAAAACUUUCAGCAAUGGAUCUCU